Molecule: ribosomal RNA, 492 nt
Filed under: uncultured bacterium
Lineage: Bacteria
Description: partial 16S ribosomal RNA
Rfam family: Bacterial small subunit ribosomal RNA
Source: RNAcentral
AGUGAACGCUGGCGGUAGGCCUAACACAUGCAAGUCGAACGGCAGCACAGUAAGAGCUUGCUCUUACGGGUGGUGAGUGGCGGACGGGUGAGGAAUACAUCGGAAUCUACUUUUUCGUGGGGGAUAACGUAGGGAAACUUACGCUAAUACCGCAUACGACCUACGGGUGAAAGCAGGGGAUCUUCGGACCUUGCGCGAUUGAAUGAGCCGAUGUCGGAUUAGCUAGUUGGCGGGGUAAAGGCCCACCAAGGCGACGAUCCGUAGCUGGUCUGAGAGGAUGAUCGCCCACAUGGGAAGUGAGACACGGUCCAGACGCCUACGAGAGGCAGCAGUGGGGAAUAUUAGACAAUGGGGGGAAGCCUGAUCCAACCAUACCGCGUGGGUGAAGAAGGCCUUCGGGUUGUAAAGCCCUUUUGUUGGGAAUGAACAGCAGCAGGUUAAUACCCCGCUGUUCUGACGGUACCCAAAGAAUAAGCACCGGCUAACUUCGUG